Molecule: ribosomal RNA, 439 nt
Filed under: uncultured soil bacterium
Lineage: Bacteria
Description: bacterial SSU rRNA
Rfam family: Bacterial small subunit ribosomal RNA
Source: RNAcentral
AGGACGAACGCUGGCGGCGUGCUUAACACAUGCAAGUCAAGGGGGCCCAGCAAUGGGCAACCGGCGAACGGGUGCGUAACACGUGAGCAACCUACCGAAAUGUGGGGGAUAGCCGGCCUAACGGCCGAGUAAUACCGCAUACGCUCUCGAUGAGGCAUUUCAUUGAGAGGAAACCUACGGGACAUUUCGAGGGGCUCGCGGCCUAUCAGCUAGUUGGCGAGGUAACGGCUCACCAAGGCAACGACGGGUAGCUGGUCUGAGAGGAUGGCCAGCCACAUUGGGACUGAGAUACGGCCCAGACUCCGUACGGGAGGCAGCAGGUGGGGAAUCGUUGCGCAAGUCGGACCUAACGGCUGACCGACGACGCGACCGCCGCCGGUAGUAGGAUGGAAGCCUCGUCGGAGUAGUAAACUUACGUGUUCGACCCGGACGAAGUACG